GUGGGGAAUUUUGGACAAUGGGCGCAAGCCUGAUCCAGCAAUGCCGCGUGCAGGAAGAAGGCCUUCGGGUUGUAAACUGCUUUUGUACGGAACGAAACGGUCCUGGUUAAUACCUGGGGCUAAUGACGGUACCGUAAGAAUAAGCACCGGCUAACUACGUGCCAGCAGCCGCGGUAAUACGUAGGGUGCAAGCGUUAAUCGGAAUUACUGGGCGUAAAGCGUGCGCAGGCGGUUUUGUAAGACAGGCGUGAAAUCCCCGGGCUCAACCUGGGAAUUGCGAUUGUGACUGCAAGGCUGGAGUGCGGCAGAGGGGGAUGGAAUUCCGCGUGUAGCAGUGAAAUGCGUAGAUAUGCGGAGGAACACCGAUGGCGAAGGCAAUCCCCUGGGCCUGCACUGACGCUCAUGCACGAAAGCGUGGGGAGCAAACAGGAUUAGAAACCCGGGUAGUCC
This 450-nucleotide ribosomal RNA is filed under the name uncultured bacterium. Its description in RNAcentral is "partial 16S ribosomal RNA". It matches the Rfam family "Bacterial small subunit ribosomal RNA", at positions 354 to 796 of the family's 1533-position model. The record is from RNAcentral.